Benincasa hispida (wax gourd) is the source of this 1703-nucleotide non-coding RNA. NCBI's taxonomy places the organism in Eukaryota, Viridiplantae, Streptophyta, Magnoliopsida, Cucurbitales, Cucurbitaceae. The record is from RefSeq and is a predicted model, not a curated record.
UGAAGAAAUAAAUAGAAAUUCGUACCCACAAUUAAAAUCCUUUACAUCUCUACCUUCCAUCUACUCAUCGACUUUGAUAGUUUUGCUCUUUAUUCAUUUCCACAAUCAAAAUUUUGAAACCAAAACCUUCAACUAAGCUUUGCCAAUUCAGCAUUAUCGAAACCCUUCUCCUCCUCCCAUUCCCCUUCUUCUUUCACCAAAUGGAUUCCGACGCCGUCGCCGGAGAUGAGGUCGUCUUCGAAUUCCUCCCCGUCUUCCGCGUCUUCCAAAGCGGCCGCGUCGAGAGGCUCUUCCCCACCGACCGCCUUCCACCGUCCACCGAUCCACUCACCGGCGUCCAAUCCAAAGACAUCCUCAUCGAUCCACAAACCCAACUCUCCGUACGGAUAUACCUCCCACAUAUUUCAGACUCCACCAAGAAACUCCCGCUUCUAAUUUACAUCCACGGUGGCGCCUUCGCCAUCGGCUCCGUCGCAUCGCCGAUCUACCACCCCCACCUCAUCUCCCUCGCCGCCGAAUCCAACGCCGUCGCUGUCUCGGUAGAAUACCGUCUGGCGCCGGAAAAUCCUCUCCCAGCGGCGUACGACGACGCGUGGGCGGCGGUGGAAUGGGCGGCGUCGCAUUCCAAUGGCGACGGCGCGGAGAUUUGGCUGAACCAACACGCUGAUUUCAGCCGCGUAUUUGUUAUUGGGGAUAGCGCUGGUGCAAACAUUUCGUACAAUGUAGUGGACCGGGCCAGCGAGAGUGAUAAUGGGCCGAAGGGAAUGAAGAUAAUUGGGCUGGGCCUAGUUCAUCCGUUUUUCAUGAUUGAUAAGCCCGAUAAGUUGAUAGAGUAUGUUUUCCCCACGUCAGCGGGUUUGGAGGAUCCGAGGAUGAACCCGUGGGCCAACCCGAGACUUGGGAAGCUACGGUGUGAGCGCGUGUUAAUACUUGCAGCGGAACUUGAUUCGUUAAAGGAUAGGGCGCGUGGGAUUCACGCAGCCUUAAGGGAGAGUGGAUUUGAAGGGUCGGUGGAGAUUGAGGAGACUGAAGGGAAAGACCACGUGUUUCAUUUGCUUAAACCCGAGACAGAGAAGGCUGUUGCAUUGGUAAAAAAGAUAGCGUCCUUUACCCAAUCAGCAUAAGCCACGUGGGAACUUUUCUCUCUUACAGAAGUGCAAGAAUAUUAGGAAAUUUUUUUUUACCACAAUCAAAGAGAGAAGGAAGCUUUCGGGUGAACGGUUGGACGGACGGUUAAAUGGAGGCACAUGACUUAAGGUAGGAAAUUUUUGGAUAAUUUGUUCGGAUAGACAAACAGAAGAGAUUUUCGGACGAAGAAGACGGAAGAAAAGAGGAGGCAGAAGGCUUUCGGAUGGAGGAACAAAAAGGUCGCGACAGUUUAAUGUAGGGAGUCGUAUACCCGGUACACGACUUCAGUCAAUACUGUAUGACUACCACGGCAGAUUGCGCGUGCUAGAUCAACAGGAAAUCAUGUACCCCGUGUACCAGGGAUGAUGGUGGAGUUCGAACCUCUCAUCUUUAGGGAGGUUAACUUGAUGUCUUAAUCGAUUGAGCAAUAUUCAAAUGUCGUCAUAUAUAAUAAGUGUGAGGUGAUCAUCGUAUUUUUUUUCCUUUCAAUUUUAUAGUAAAAUACAUAUUAAUGUAUUUGGUUAUUCUUUUAUCUAAGAAUAUAGAAUAAAAUAGCUAUUUAGUGUUUAAAUUUU